GAAUUUCUGCCUUGUUCGACUUAGUAUAGUUUUUAUAAUCCAACACAUCUUUUAAGGGAAUUCAGCUCCGGUUGUGGAUUGCAGACCUCCCAUUUUUAUGGACGAAGGGAGCGUGAAUCAAUCGGGCGUUUACCCACCUGCUUCGUGCGGGUUUUAUACGCUAUAUGACGGCAAGGCGGAUUUUUU
This 186-nucleotide non-coding RNA is filed under the name Ruminococcus sp. RNAcentral's name for it is "6S RNA". It matches the Rfam family "6S / SsrS RNA". Rfam says of the family: E. coli 6S RNA was the first non coding RNA to be sequenced, but its function was unknown until recently. It consists of 184 nucleotides that fold into an extended hairpin structure with a large single-stranded internal bulge. The 6S RNA specifically associates with RNA polymerase holoenzyme containing the sigma70 specificity factor. Lineage: Bacteria; Bacillati; Bacillota; Clostridia; Eubacteriales; Oscillospiraceae. The record is from RNAcentral.